RNAcentral lists this transfer RNA (77 nucleotides) under Pseudochlorodesmis sp. HV01306b. RNAcentral describes it as "tRNA-Met". It matches the Rfam family "tRNA". From Rfam's summary of the family: Transfer RNA (tRNA) molecules are approximately 80 nucleotides in length. Their secondary structure includes four short double-helical elements and three loops (D, anti-codon, and T loops). Further hydrogen bonds mediate the characteristic L-shaped molecular structure. tRNAs have two regions of fundamental functional importance: the anti-codon, which is responsible for specific mRNA codon recognition, and the 3' end, to which the tRNAs corresponding amino acid is attached (by aminoacyl-tRNA synthetases). tRNAs cope with the degeneracy of the genetic code in two manners: having more than one tRNA (with a specific anti-codon) for a particular amino acid; and 'wobble' base-pairing, i.e. permitting non-standard base-pairing at the 3rd anti-codon position. The record is from RNAcentral. Lineage: Eukaryota; Viridiplantae; Chlorophyta; Ulvophyceae; Bryopsidales; Bryopsidaceae.
UGCCUAUUUAGCUCAAUUGGUUAGAGCCUCCGUUUCAUACGCGGAAGGUUACUAGUUCAAAUCUAGUAAUAGGUAUC